AGAGUUUGAUCAUGGCUCAGAACGAACGCUGGCGGCGUGCUUAACACAUGCAAGUUGAAUGCGAACAGGUCUUUUGGGGUCUAAGUAGCAUAGCAGACGGGUGAGGAACGCGUAACUGACCUGUCUCUUGAUGGGGGAUAGUCCUGCGAAAGUGGGGGUAAUACCGCAUAAGCUCACUUGGAGUAAUAUUUAAGUGAGGAAAGUUGGCCUCUGUAUAACAAGCUGAUGUCGAGAGAGGGGGUUGCGUCCUAUUAGCUAGUUGGUGGGGUAAAGGCUUACCAAGGCGGCGAUGGGUAGCUGGUCUGAGAGGAUGAUCAGCCACACUGGGACUGAGAGACGGCCCAGACUCCUACGGGAGGCAGCAGUGGGGAAUUUUGCGCAAUGGGCGUGAGCCUGACGCAGCAACGCCGCGUGAGUGAGGACGCCCUUCGGGGUGUAAAGCUUUGUUGCCUGGGACGAAAGAUAUAUAGUGAAGAGCGUUGUAUUGUGACGGUACCAG
Molecule: ribosomal RNA, 499 nt
Filed under: uncultured bacterium
Lineage: Bacteria
Description: bacterial SSU rRNA
Rfam family: Bacterial small subunit ribosomal RNA
Source: RNAcentral